GUGAAUCAUCGAAUUUUUGAACGCAAAUUGCACUUUCUGGUAUUCCGGAAAGUAUGCCUGUUUGAGGGUCAGUUAAAUAAAAAUCGGUGUUAUUGCUAUUAAUGGUGAUGCAUCGGAAUUGAGUCGUCUUUACCUUUGGUUUUAAGUGACUUAAAAUUAUGAAGAAUUUUUGACGGAUUUAAAUUAUUUAAUUAAGGUCAAGUAAUCA
This 208-nucleotide unclassified non-coding RNA is filed under the name Glomeraceae sp. RNAcentral describes it as "partial contains 5.8S ribosomal RNA and internal transcribed spacer 2". The stretch from base 1 to 71 matches the Rfam family "5.8S ribosomal RNA", at positions 84 to 154 of the family's 154-position model. The record is from RNAcentral. Lineage: Eukaryota; Fungi; Glomeromycota; Glomeromycetes; Glomerales; Glomeraceae.